Molecule: ribosomal RNA, 253 nt
Filed under: uncultured bacterium
Lineage: Bacteria
Description: partial 16S ribosomal RNA
Rfam family: Bacterial small subunit ribosomal RNA
Source: RNAcentral
UACGUAGGGUGCAAGCGUUAAUCGGAAUUACUGGGCGUAAAGCGUGCGCAGGCGGUGCUGUAAGACCGGUGUGAAAUCCCCGGGCUUAACCUGGGAACUGCAUUUGUGACUGCAGCGCUGGAGUGCGGCAGAGGGGGAUGGAAUUCCGCGUGUAGCAGUGAAAUGCGUAGAUAUGCGGAGGAACACCAGUGGCGAAAGCGGCUUCCUGGUCCGACACCGACGUUCAGGCACGAAAGCGUGGGGAGCAAACAGG